UGGGAUAACUCCGGGAAACCGGGGCUAAUACCGGAUGCUUGUUUGAACCGCAUGGUUCAGACAUAAAAGGUGGCUUCGGCUACCACUUACAGAUGGACCCGCGGCGCAUUAGCUAGUUGGUGAGGUAACGGCUCACCAAGGCAACGAUGCGUAGCCGACCUGAGAGGGUGAUCGGCCACACUGGGACUGAGACACGGCCCAGACUCCUACGGGAGGCAGCAGUAGGGAAUCUUCCGCAAUGGACGAAAGUCUGACGGAGCAACGCCGCGUGAGUGAUGAAGGUUUUCGGAUCGUAAAGCUCUGUUGUUAGGGAAGAACAAGUGCCGUUCAAAUAGGGCGGCACCUUGACGGUACCUAACCAGAAAGCCACGGCUAACUACGUGCCAGCAGCCGCGGUAAUACGUAGGUGGCAAGCGUUGUCCGGAAUUAUUGGGCGUAAAGGGCUCGCAGGCGGUUUCUUAAGUCUGAUGUGAAAGCCCCCGGCUCAACCGGGGAGGGUCAUUGGAAACUGGGGAACUUGAGUGCAGAAGAGGAGAGUGGAAUUCCACGUGUAGCGGUGAAAAUGCGUAGAGAUGUGGAGGAACACCAGUGGCGAACCGCGACUCUCUGGUCUGUAACUGAC
This 622-nucleotide ribosomal RNA is filed under the name Bacillus velezensis. Its description in RNAcentral is "bacterial SSU rRNA". It matches the Rfam family "Bacterial small subunit ribosomal RNA", at positions 139 to 744 of the family's 1533-position model. The record is from RNAcentral. Lineage: Bacteria; Bacillati; Bacillota; Bacilli; Caryophanales; Bacillaceae.